RNAcentral lists this RNase P RNA (389 nucleotides) under Lachnospiraceae bacterium. Its description in RNAcentral is "RNase P RNA component class A". It matches the Rfam family "Bacterial RNase P class A". From Rfam's summary of the family: Ribonuclease P (RNase P) is a ubiquitous endoribonuclease, found in archaea, bacteria and eukarya as well as chloroplasts and mitochondria. Lineage: Bacteria; Bacillati; Bacillota; Clostridia; Lachnospirales; Lachnospiraceae. The record is from RNAcentral. RNAcentral also lists the same sequence under 1 other name.
CAAGUAGGACAAAUAAUCGCGGCUGCCGUGCCGCCUUUGGCAGGCCGGCAGGUGAGGAAAGUCCGGGCUUCACAGGGCAGGAUGCCGGAUAACGUCCGGUGGAGGCGACUCCAAGGAAAGUGCAACAGAAAUAUACCGCCCGCAGGCAAAAGAGAGGGCUUUGCCGGAAUUUUUGCCUGCGAGGUAAGGGUGGAAGGGCAGUGUAAGAGACUACCGCCUGACCGGUAACGGGCAGGGCACAUGUAAACCCCAUCCGAAGCAAGACCAAACAGAAAGCGCAGAGCCGGCCCGGCGAGCUUUCAGGUAGGCCGCUUGAGGCUGCCGGUAACGGCAGUCCUAGAUAGAUGAUUAUUCAACGACAUAACCCGGCUUAUCGUCCUGCUUGAUAA